RNAcentral lists this ribosomal RNA (301 nucleotides) under uncultured bacterium. RNAcentral's name for it is "partial 16S ribosomal RNA". It matches the Rfam family "Bacterial small subunit ribosomal RNA", at positions 509 to 807 of the family's 1533-position model. The record is from RNAcentral.
CAGUAGCCACGGUAAUACGAAGGGGGCUAGCGUUGUUCGGAAUUACUGGGCGUAAGGCGCGCGUAGGCGGACUUUUAAGUCAGGGGUGAAAUCCCGGGGCUCAACCUCGGAACUGCCUUUGAUACUGGAAGUCUUGAGUGUGGAAGAAGUAAGUGGAAUUGCGAGUGUAGAGGUGAAAUUCGUAGAUAUUCGCAGGAACACCAGUGGCGAAGGCGGCUUACUGGUCCACAACUGACGCUGAGGUGCGAAAGCGUGGGGAGCAAACAGGAUUAGAUACCCCCGUAGUCCCUGUCUCUUAUAC